RNAcentral lists this microRNA precursor (134 nucleotides) under Marmota monax (woodchuck). Lineage: Eukaryota; Metazoa; Chordata; Mammalia; Rodentia; Sciuridae. The record is from RNAcentral.
AGAAAGAGAAGAGACAGAGAGAGGAGAGAGAGAGAGUGACCUGUCCCUGAAUUUUUAUUUCAUUUGGACAAAUAGAGAUAUAGACAAAGACUCUCUCUCUCUCUCUCUCUCUCUCUCUCUCUCUCUCUCUCUCA